GCGGUGGCUCAGAGGUAGAGUGCUUGCUUGGCACAUGUGAGGGACUGGGUUCGAGCCUCAGCAUUGCA
Molecule: transfer RNA, 68 nt
Filed under: Marmota monax (woodchuck)
Lineage: Eukaryota; Metazoa; Chordata; Mammalia; Rodentia; Sciuridae
Description: tRNA.Ala
Source: RNAcentral